Molecule: ribosomal RNA, 482 nt
Filed under: uncultured bacterium
Lineage: Bacteria
Description: partial 16S ribosomal RNA
Rfam family: Bacterial small subunit ribosomal RNA
Source: RNAcentral
GAUGAACGCUAGCGGCAGGCCUAAUACAUGCAAGUCGGACGGGAUUCAGGAGCUUGCUUCUGCUGAGAGUGGCGCACGGGUGCGUAACACGUAUGUAACCUACCUUUAUCAGGGGGAUAGCCUCUCGAAAGAGAGAUUAAGCCCGCAUAAAAUCACAGCACAGCCUUGUGUAAUGAUCAAAUAUUUAUAGGAUAAAGAUGGGCAUGCGGAACAUUAGCUAGAUGGCGGGGUAACGGCCCACCAUGGCGACGAUGUUUAGGGGAUCUGAGAGGAUGGCCCCCCACACUGGUACUGAGACACGGACCAGAAUCCUACGGCAGGCAGCAGUAAGGAAGAUUGGUCAAUGGGCGGAAGCCUGAACCAGCCAUGCCGCGUGCAGGAAGACGGCCCUACGGGUUGUAAACUGCUUUUAUACGGGAAUAAACCCAGAUACGUGUAUCUGGCUGAAUGUACUGUAAGAAUAAGGAUCGGCUAACUCCGUG